CCUCGGAUCAGGUAGGAAUACCCGCUGAACUUAAGCAUAUCAAUAAGCGGAGGAAAAGAAACCAACAGGGAUUGCCCUAGUAACGGCGAGUGAAGCGGCAACAGCUCAAAUUUGAAAUCUGGCCUUCUGGUCCGAAUUGUAAUUUGUAGAGGAUGACUUUGGUUAGGUACCUUCCGAGUUCCUUGGAACAGGACGCCUUAGAGGGUGAGAGCCCCGUACGGUUGGAUGCCGAUCCUUUGUAAGUCUCCUUCGACGAGUCGAGUAGUUUGGGAAUGCUGCUCUAAAUGGGAGGUAAAUUUCUUCUAAAGCUAAAUACCGGCCAGAGACCGAUAGCGCACAAGUAGAGUGAUCGAAAGAUGAAAAGCACUUUGAAAAGAGGGUUAAAUAGUACGUGAAAUUGUUGAAAGGGAAGGGUUUAUGACCAGACCUUUGCGUUGGGAAUCAUCCGGUGUUCUCACCGGUGCACUUCCCUUCGUUGAGGCCAGCAUCAGUUCUAGUUGGGGGAUAAAGACAUUAGGAAUGUGAUUCCUCCGGGAAUGUUAUAGCCUUUUGUGUAAUACCCUGACCGGGACUGAGGACCGCGCUUCGGCUAGGAUGCUGGCAUAAUGGUCAUCAGCCACCCGUCUUGAAACACGGACCAAGGAGUCGAACAUUUAUGCGAGUGUUUGGGUGUUAAACCCUCACGCGUAAUGAAAGUGAACGGAGGUGAGAGCCCUUACGGGUGCAUCAUCGACCGAUCCUGAUGUCUUCGGAUGGAUUUGAGUAAGAGCAUAACUGUUCGGACCCGAAAGAUGGUGAACUAUGCGUGGAUAGGGUGAAGCCAGAGGAAACUCUGGUGGAGGCUCGCAGCGGUUCUGACGUGCAAAUCGAUCGUCAAAUCUGCGCAUGGGGGCGAAAGACUAAUCGA
Molecule: ribosomal RNA, 907 nt
Filed under: Microdochium lycopodinum
Lineage: Eukaryota; Fungi; Ascomycota; Sordariomycetes; Xylariales; Microdochiaceae
Description: eukaryotic LSU rRNA
Rfam family: Eukaryotic large subunit ribosomal RNA
Source: RNAcentral